RNAcentral lists this non-coding RNA (27 nucleotides) under Homo sapiens (human). The record is from RNAcentral. Lineage: Eukaryota; Metazoa; Chordata; Mammalia; Primates; Hominidae.
GAAAGGAAAAUGGUGGUACAUAAAUUA